RNAcentral lists this transfer RNA (86 nucleotides) under Hypsizygus marmoreus. It matches the Rfam family "tRNA". Rfam says of the family: Transfer RNA (tRNA) molecules are approximately 80 nucleotides in length. Their secondary structure includes four short double-helical elements and three loops (D, anti-codon, and T loops). Further hydrogen bonds mediate the characteristic L-shaped molecular structure. tRNAs have two regions of fundamental functional importance: the anti-codon, which is responsible for specific mRNA codon recognition, and the 3' end, to which the tRNAs corresponding amino acid is attached (by aminoacyl-tRNA synthetases). tRNAs cope with the degeneracy of the genetic code in two manners: having more than one tRNA (with a specific anti-codon) for a particular amino acid; and 'wobble' base-pairing, i.e. permitting non-standard base-pairing at the 3rd anti-codon position. Lineage: Eukaryota; Fungi; Basidiomycota; Agaricomycetes; Agaricales; Lyophyllaceae. The record is from Rfam by way of RNAcentral.
GCCCCUAUUGUCUAAUGGCUAUGAUGUCAGAUUCCUACACUUUAGGCAGCAUCUGGAGGUUGCGGGUUCGAAUCCCGCUAGGGGUU